Long non-coding RNA from Lactuca sativa (garden lettuce), 1449 nucleotides. RefSeq lists it as uncharacterized. The record is from RefSeq and is a predicted model, not a curated record. Lineage: Eukaryota; Viridiplantae; Streptophyta; Magnoliopsida; Asterales; Asteraceae.
GGUCUAUUCUUCUGAAGGUAUUUAAGCUUAAGAUGAAACUCGAGAUGGAAACAAGUUAAAAUCCUUAUGUUGUUUCUACUUUCGUGGAUUAACCUUGGACCUGCAAAGCCCCAUGAAGAUCUCUUUGUCUGCAUAUUGGAGGAAGGAAAGGUUGGGCCUGGAGUUAUGCAUGUCAAUCUGGUGAAAAAAAAACAUGUCCCUGGACGUGUGAUAGGUUGUAGGUUGAUUGGGCUGCAAUUUAAUGUUUCUUUCCUGUGUUCUAUUCCUAAGCAAUGCCCACGACUCCAACAUUGGUAUCGGUUUGGACAAUAUCAAUAGAAAAUAAAUGCCCAAAAGAUAACAGGCUGCUUCUCUCAAGAGUCAAGACUACAAGCGAUAUAUAUAAGAUUUCUGGUCAUUUACCCUAGGCGUGCCAAACAUAUCUUCUGCCGCCGUCAGAUCACGCACCUGACUGUCUGCUGAAACGCUGCUAUCCGAUUUUUAUUUCUAUGUUCCAUCUCUUCAGCUCUCCAUCGUCUUGUCGAUUAUAGAACGUUUUACCUUCUGUCGUUGAUGAUUGCUAUUUUUAUCCUCUUAUUGGCAUCGGCUCUAAAGAAGAGGAACAAAUAAUUAGCAAUUAUAAGUUGGAGAAUCUUCUGGAAGAUCAAACUCACCGGAUAAUGAAGGAAAGAAGCUUCAGUCGUCCAAGCAGGCUGUAACCAGCAACAAGGGGAAGGAGAAAAUGAUUGAUUUACAAGCUAAAGGGACCGAUAUGUGGGAGUUGCCAUUGAGAUACCAUAAUAAGGGGGUUACUAUCGCCUUCCCACCAAGACCCGCACCUCAAGUCCAUGAAAAUGCCAUGAUUUCCAAAUCUAAAGAUCAAUCAACUACGGAUAUGAGGACAGGAAUCUAAAAACGAAAGAGGAGAAAUAAGCAGCAAAAUAUUGUUGAACUUGAACCUUCUUUUUGGAACAGGAUCUGUCCACAAGAUGUGGUUGGCGCUGGAAUGCAUCUGAAUCCAGCAAAAAAGAAGCAUUCUGCUUGGUUCAGUUUAACUCCUUCCUGUGAUCAGAACAGAAAGAACACUCUGCAACUUCUAGUGGAACCAUACUUACAGAUAAUCAUGGAGGGGAACUGUAAUCCAGAUGUGUCUAUUCUCAUGAAUAUAUCGCGUUGCAACUUAAGCAUGUUCGCCAACAGGAGGUUGGUAUUUUCUUGAACGGGAAACUUCUUGCCCCGGAAAUGAAGCUACUUGAUGUGGUGAAGCAGUGGAUGGCUUUUGUUGAUUCAGAGAGGAAAAUAACCAAGAUAGGAAGUUCUGCCGAGAACUUCUGUAUGAAGUUGACUUAUGCUCGAAGAGAAUAGACAAAAGUAUGAAUUUAUUAUAAAAUCCGACAAAUGUUUGUUCCGUAAUUAUGCCAUUUAACCGAUUGACUUUUACAAUUUCUUGGUUAACGCUGAUGGAAUGAA